UCCUCCCUCUGGCGGCGUGCCUAAUACAUGCAAGUCGAGCGAGCGAAACUAACAGAUUUACUUCGGUAAUGACGUUAGGAAAGCGAGCGGCGGAUGGGUUAGUAACACGUGGGGAACCUGCCCCAUAGUCUGGGAUACCACUUGGAAACAGGUGCUAAUACCGGAUAAGAAAGCAGAUCGCAUGAUCAGCUUUUACAAGGCGGCGUAAGCUGUCGCUAUGGGAUGGCCCCGCGGUGCAUUAGCUAGUUUGUAAGGUAAAGGCUUACCAAGGCGAUGAUGCAUAGCCGAGUUGAGAGACUGAUCGGCCACAUUGGGACUGAGACACGGCCCAAACUCCUACGGGAGGCAGCAGUAGGGAAUCUUCCACAAUGGACGCAAGUCUGAUGGAGCAACGCCGCGUGAGUGAAGAAGGUUUUCGGAUCGUAAAGCUCUGUUGUUGGUGAAGAAGGAUAGAGGUAGUAACUGGCCUUUAUUUGACGGUAAUCAACCAGAAAGUCACGGCUAACUACGUG
This 512-nucleotide ribosomal RNA is filed under the name uncultured bacterium. Its description in RNAcentral is "partial 16S ribosomal RNA". It matches the Rfam family "Bacterial small subunit ribosomal RNA", at positions 36 to 507 of the family's 1533-position model. The record is from RNAcentral.